GACGAACGCUGGCGGCGUGCCUAAUACAUGCAAGUUGAGCGCUGAAGGUUGGUACUUGUACCAACUGGAUGAGCAGCGAACGGGUGAGUAACGCGUGGGGAAUCUGCCUUUGAGCGGGGGACAACAUUUGGAAACGAAUGCUAAUACCGCAUAAAAACUUUAAACACAAGUUUUAAGUUUGAAAGAUGCAAUUGCAUCACUCAAAGAUGAUCCCGCGUUGUAUUAGCUAGUUGGCGAGGUAAAGGCUCACCAAGGCGAUGAUACAUAGCCGACCUGAGAGGGUGAUCGGCCACAUUGGGACUGAGACACGGCCCAAACUCCUACGGGAGGCAGCAGUAGGGAAUCUUCGGCAAUGGACGAAAGUCUGACCGAGCAACGCCGCGUGAGUGAAGAAGGUUUUCGGAUCGUAAAACUCUGUUGGUAGAGAAGAACGUUGGUGAGAGUGGAAAGCUCAUCAAGUGACGGUAACUACCCAGAAAGGGACGGCUAACUACGUG
RNAcentral lists this ribosomal RNA (497 nucleotides) under uncultured bacterium. RNAcentral's name for it is "partial 16S ribosomal RNA". It matches the Rfam family "Bacterial small subunit ribosomal RNA", at positions 28 to 507 of the family's 1533-position model. The record is from RNAcentral.